RNAcentral lists this ribosomal RNA (252 nucleotides) under uncultured bacterium. Its description in RNAcentral is "partial 16S ribosomal RNA". It matches the Rfam family "Bacterial small subunit ribosomal RNA", at positions 524 to 776 of the family's 1533-position model. The record is from RNAcentral.
UACGUAGGUGGCAAGCGUUAUCCGGAAUGAUUGGGCGUAAAGGGUGCGUAGGCGGCCUGCUAAGUCUGGAGUGAAAGGUACCGGCUCAACCGGUACAGGCUCUGGAAACUGGCGGGCUAGAGAGCAGGAGAGGGCGGUGGAACUCCAUGUGUAGCGGUAAAAUGCGUAGAUAUAUGGAAGAACACCAGUGGCGAAGGCGGCUGUCUGGUCUGCAACUGACGCUGAGGCUCGAAAGCAUGGGUAGCGAACAGG